Long non-coding RNA from Cygnus atratus (black swan), 1025 nucleotides. RefSeq lists it as uncharacterized. Lineage: Eukaryota; Metazoa; Chordata; Aves; Anseriformes; Anatidae. The record is from RefSeq and is a predicted model, not a curated record. The transcript has 3 exons.
AGGUUACAUUAGAGAUUGAGCCCUGAUCUUUGAGAUGGUAUGUACUGAUACCUGGAGAACAGCCUUUGGAGGGAGAGAAUUUAAGACUUCAGGGAAACCUUUGUGUCUUAGAAGCUGAGGUUGCCUUUCAUUAGAUAGAGUGAUCUGUGGUGCCUUAUGCCAGCUGACAAUCAUCGUGUCUUUGGCCAUUUUGCUAAUGAAGGGGAGGAUUAUUGAAGGAGCUAUAAUUCAGCUGGAGACCGGUAUUUGUCAGAGGAUUUUGGAUAUUCCUGUCCAAGAGAGAAUCACCUUUACUUCAGAGUUAUAAUGAAGAACUGAGAACAGAAAAGAAGGUUGUUCUCUACUCCUGGGGUUUUGGAGGCUGUUCACAGUGGCUCCUUCUGCAUCUUGGGAGGGAAGGUUACACCUUUGCACCAGGAAUUCUCUCUGACAGAACCGGAACUUAGAUAGCAAAACAGAUACUCUUCUGCCUCAAUUUAUACAAGCACUGAAGUUCAGUUGUGAAUAAUUCUUUGCCUUUUCUUGCCUGCUUACCUGCUGUUUUGUGUUAGCACAUUAUUUUCUCAUGGCUUUUACAGGUAGUUCUCUUACACACCCAUUGCACCUAUUAAUAUUAAAAUAACCAGGGCUUGUGUGCCCGAUUGUUUUUCAGUGUACCGAAUAAACGGCGCCAAGUGCAUACAAUGCAAUAUAAAAGGGUUUGUCCGCGGGUUUGUUCAUGCGGGAAUGAAGUGGGGGCAGCUAAGCGUGCCUGACUCGCGCAUGAAGGGACAGUGUGGGAAGAGUGCUUGGACUGUUAAAAUGUAACUUUCACAUGGAGAUAUUUCAGGUCGUCUUCUGAAUUUAUACAUUUCAGAAUUUGGUGGUCAGUUCUGUUUCUUUUUCCUUCAGAGCUACUGGGUACCACAUCAUUCAAAUAUAUUGCAACUAUACAGACCAAUAUGAUGACCAGUAGGCAGCAAUAUGAUGACUAGAAGCACAGUAAGAUGUAAACAAAGAGCUACUUUUAUAAUCUAUUACACAUU